RNAcentral lists this ribosomal RNA (255 nucleotides) under uncultured bacterium. RNAcentral describes it as "partial 16S ribosomal RNA". It matches the Rfam family "Bacterial small subunit ribosomal RNA", at positions 524 to 776 of the family's 1533-position model. The record is from RNAcentral.
GACGAAGGAUGCAAGCGUUAUCCGGAUUCAUUGGGUUUAAAGGGAGCGUAGGCGGACUUAUAAGUCAGUGGUGAAAUCUUCGAGCUUAACUCGGAAACUGCCAUUGAUACUGUAGGUCUAGAGUACAGUUGCCGUUGGCGGAAUAUGACAUGUAGUGGUGAAAUACUUAGAUAUGUCAUAGAACACCGAUUGCGAAGGCAGCUAACGAAGCUGUAACUGACGCUGAGGCUCGAAAAGUGCGGGGGAUCAAACAGG